GCUCCCCCCCCACCCGGAUUCUCAGGUGCGGGCAUACCCCAUGAGGGAUUCUGGGAGUUAUAGUCCAGCAAUGGGAAUUUUCCAAGCUCCUCAGCUCAUCUCAUUUUUUGCUGUUAACUCCAGCAGAUUCCCCCAGUGUCCAGUGUGUGGCUGAGAGUUUUCCAUUCCCACGGUUAGAAAAUGAUUGGGGGGUGGGGAGAGAAAAAGCAAAUUAAUGCUUAAUAACUUGAAUAACAGGAAAGCAGCUUCCUGCUUGGCCUGCCGGAACUUUGGAGAUAAUCACCGGCAGGAUCCAAGGUCCCCUUGCCAUCGGGGACGGAGCCAUGGUGUCACUCCCAUGCCCUUGGCCGGUUGGGAGACUGACACAGGCCUCUCCUCCGGCUGGUGGUUUUGUUCAGGAGCAUCCCUGAUCUUCACAUUCCUGCCCCGCCUCCCUGCAUUUUCAAGGCAGAGGAAGCAAUUCUGCCCUCCACCCCUCAGCUUAAUAGGCCCUUUCCUGGCCCUGAUGGCACCCUCAGGCAGCAGCAACUUCCUAAAUCACUUUGAAUUGAUUUCAAGCACUGGCAGGGAGGGUGGGCUUCAGGGCCCCUUAAUCCCUGCUGAGUCGGAAGGCUUUAAUAGGGAAAUGUUGUUUGGCGGAAAGCGAGAAGGAACAAACACUCCUCCGUUGGCAACUGCUGAAGUAAAGAAAAAAAGGAUGGGGCAUUCAUAAUGGGAAGCAAAUGCUCUUCUGUCAGCCAGAGCAUGAAAGUAACAAGUUACAUGUAAUGGUGGGCUGUACAAGAUGCUACAGAGAGUUCAUUGUUAGAAGUGGCAGAUCCUUAAGCCAUGUGAUCUUAAUCCCACAGGCUUUUCUCAUCUCCUGUAGGUUGUAAAUUAUUUUGCUUUAUUCUGUGACUAGUAAUCAGGAAUUAAAAUGCUGUCUUAGUUUACAUUCUGAUUGCUCUGGCAGAUGCUCUCUACUUCCAGAGAAUUAUGUGGUGUUUUUUUUGUGUGUGUUAAGUAUAGAGUCUCAAUUGAGCCAUAGUUACUACUUGUAAUAAGCUAUUUACUUUUAGUGUAGCAAAGUUACAUUCCAGAAAUAAUGUGAGCAUUAAGUUAUUUUGCAGGUGCAGUGAGUAACAUUUUCUAGUUUUUAAAAGAUAUAUUUCAAGGAUAUUUUCAGACAUUUUAAAGACAUUUUGACUUGGGUUUUAAAUUCUCUUUUCAGACCGUUUUCUUUACAUUGCUUUUAAAAAGAAAAUAAUAACUAUCAGUGCAACAAAUUACUUUUAAGCAUUGUAACAAGUCGAUAACAAAGAAUAAUGACUAACAGGAACAAAUUACUUGUUAAAAGUAACUUACAGAGUGUGCUGAUAAAACUAAAGGGCUGGAACAACUGUUACUAGAUUGAUGAGUGUGGGAGAGACCUACUGGAUUUGAUCCACAUGGGCGGGCAAGCCUUGGACACCUGUCUGCACCACAUCUGGCCUAAACAGCCAGGUGAACUCUUUGGCUCUUUGAUGUCUUCAGUUCAUCACGGCUCAUUCAAGUCAGUCCCUUCUCUGUCAAGGUUGCCAGUAACUCUUCCCACCCCUCCAGGUUAAUGGACGAGAAGCGUGGACUGCACU
Molecule: long non-coding RNA, 1610 nt
Organism: Pogona vitticeps (central bearded dragon)
Lineage: Eukaryota; Metazoa; Chordata; Lepidosauria; Squamata; Agamidae
Source: Ensembl